UACAGAGGUCCCAAGCGUUGUUCGGAUUCAUUGGGCGUAAAGGGUGCGUAGGUGGCGCUGUAAGUCGGGUGUGAAAUUUCGGAGCUUAACUCCGAAACUGCAUUCGAUACUGCGUGUGCUUGAGGACUGGAGAGGAGACUGGAAUUUACGGUGUAGCAGUGAAAUGCGUAGAGAUCGUAAGGAAGACCAGUGGCGAAGGCGGGUCUCUGGACAGUUCCUGACACUGAGGCACGAAGGCCAGGGGGAGCAAACGGG
Molecule: ribosomal RNA, 255 nt
Filed under: uncultured bacterium
Lineage: Bacteria
Description: partial 16S ribosomal RNA
Rfam family: Bacterial small subunit ribosomal RNA
Source: RNAcentral